Molecule: long non-coding RNA, 394 nt
Filed under: Anas platyrhynchos platyrhynchos (common mallard)
Lineage: Eukaryota; Metazoa; Chordata; Aves; Anseriformes; Anatidae
Description: lncRNA (ENSAPLG00000022902.1)
Source: RNAcentral
AUGGUUAUGAAAGGCUACUUCCAUCAGCAAAGGAGGCAGUACUUUUGGUUGCUGCAAAACUGGCCUGGAAGUCCACCUUUCACUUCAAAGAACACGAAACGAACAGCUGUCCCUUGUCAACCACAGCUUCAGAAGGACUCCAAAUUAAUUUUUGACAAAUUCUUGACAGCACCCCUCAUAUCUCUAACACAUCACAGGGAAUUAUCUGAUUCUGUAACUUUUGACUACUUUGGUGUCCCUCACAUGAAGGAACAGCUUUUGCCAACAUUCACUCCAGCCAUUGGAAAAGUCAAUAUCAUAAGCUUCCCCUAAAGCAAGAUUCAGCCUCCACCAGGCUGCGCUCAGAGGCUCAGCACUGUACUCAAAAAAUGAGAAAAUAAAACACUGAUAAAAU